RNAcentral lists this long non-coding RNA (209 nucleotides) under Nicotiana benthamiana. RNAcentral describes it as "long non-coding RNA (NBEN_LNC025587)". Lineage: Eukaryota; Viridiplantae; Streptophyta; Magnoliopsida; Solanales; Solanaceae. The record is from RNAcentral.
AUCUAGCCUCGUCCAAUAUUUGAAUGGUGGAUGACCUUUUUUUACUAGAGUGGUGACAAUGUGGGUAGUUUUUCUUUAUGUUAUUUCCCUUGCUUUGAGUUAUAUGGUUGGCUUCAAAAGCUUCUUCAACUAUACUAUCUUGCCUCAUAAGCCUCCCUUGCUCUUGUGCUUGUAAUGUAUUUAACAAUUUUGCCAUGGUAAUGUUGGAU